UAAAGCACAAGCUGAAACAGGUGAAAUUAAAGGGCAUUACUUAAAUGCUACUGCAGGUACUUGUGAAGAAAUGAUCAAAAGGGCUGUGUUUGCCAGAGAAUUGGGAGUCCCUAUUGUAAUGCAUGACUACUUGACAGGGGGAUUCACUGCAAAUACUAGUUUAGCACAUUAUUGCCGAGACAACGGCCUACUUCUUCACAUCCACCGUGCAAUGCAUGCAGUUAUUGAUAGACAGAAAAAUCAUGGUAUGCAUUUCCGUGUACUAGCUAAAGCAUUACGUAUGUCUGGUGGGGAUCAUAUUCACGCUGGUACAGUAGUAGGUAAACUGGAAGGUGAACGUGAGAUGACUUUAGGUUUUGUUGAUUUAUUACGUGAUGAUUAUAUUGAAAAAGACCGAAGUCGUGGUAUUUUCUUCACUCAAGAUUGGGUCUCUAUGCCAGGUGUUAUACCUGUGGCUUCAGGGGGUAUUCAUGUUUGGCAUAUGCCUGCCCUGACCGAGAUCUUUGGAGAUGAUUCCGUACUACAGUUUGGUGGCGGAACUUUAGGACACCCUUGGGGAAAUGCACCUGGUGCAGUAGCUAACCGUGUAGCUUUAGAAGCGUGUGUACAAGCUCGUAAUGAGGGACGUGAUCUUGCUCGUGAAGGUAAUGAAAUUAUCCGUGAAGCUUGCAAAUGGAGUCCUGAA
Molecule: long non-coding RNA, 685 nt
Filed under: Spirodela polyrhiza (greater duckweed)
Lineage: Eukaryota; Viridiplantae; Streptophyta; Magnoliopsida; Alismatales; Araceae
Description: long non-coding RNA (SPOL_LNC000232)
Source: RNAcentral